RNAcentral lists this ribosomal RNA (253 nucleotides) under uncultured bacterium. Its description in RNAcentral is "partial 16S ribosomal RNA". It matches the Rfam family "Bacterial small subunit ribosomal RNA", at positions 524 to 776 of the family's 1533-position model. The record is from RNAcentral.
UACAGAGGUCCCAAGCGUUGUUCGGAUUCAUUGGGCGUAAAGGGUGCGUAGGCGGCGCGGUAAGUCGGGGGUGAAAUCCUGGAGCUCAACUCCAGAACUGCCUUCGAUACUGGCGAUCUCGAGUUCGGGAGAGGUGAGUGGAACUGCGAGUGUAGAGGUGAAAUUCGUAGAUAUUCGCAAGAACACCAGUGGCGAAGGCGGCUCACUGGCCCGAUACUGACGCUGAGGUGCGAAAGCGUGGGGAGCAAACAGG